This is a long non-coding RNA of Cercocebus atys (sooty mangabey), 8442 nucleotides long. RefSeq lists it as uncharacterized. The record is from RefSeq and is a predicted model, not a curated record. The transcript has 3 exons. Lineage: Eukaryota; Metazoa; Chordata; Mammalia; Primates; Cercopithecidae.
UGUCACUCAAGCAGGGGCGGGCACAGCUGCCGGUAGAGGGGAAAAACGCCGGCCGUCCCCGCCCCCCAGUGGAGGCCUCUUAAAGAAACAGGACGCCUUUCCCCUGCGGGCUACAGGGUCUAAAGGAAAGAAAUUUCCCAACAAACCCAAGAGGCAGCUUUCUUUUUCCCCUAAACUUUUUUUUUUUCUUUUUGGUAUGCAGUCCUAGAGUGAAGGAAAAGGCUUUUGUUCCCUGUGUCAAAUCAUAGGUUGUGAGCUCUAAGCGGGCCUCUGGUGGCACUCCGCCCUGUGCCCAGCGGGCACUUAACCGCACACUCAACAGUGGGGAUAGCUGUGGUUUGGGGAACUGAGUGGGAGGUGACAGUCGUGUCAGAGGCUGUGAGCAGCCGCGCUGCUCACCACCGAGUUGGAGCUAAUUAUACCGGCACCCAGGGCUGACCGUGGGCGCUGAGCAGAGGCAGAAGGGUACAACUCAGCUGUGCUGUUGGAAGGGAUCCGUGGGAGGUGGCAUUCGUCACUGCACCUGCGGAUCGGAACAAGGCCAGGCACCGCGCCAAGGACUCACUCCUGCUGUCUCUCUUCAUGCUUACAGCAGCCCUGUGGUGGAGGGAGCAUCGUGAUCCCUUCGCUGCAGAUGAGGAAACUGAGGCGCAGAGAAGGUCCGAGAUCUUACAGUUGGUGAGGGGCAGAGCAAGAUGCCAAGCUAUGCCUGUUGGAUUCCAAAGUUUAUACUUUAAUCGUUCGUCUAGCAGAUUCUUACAACAAUCCUGGGAGAAUAUUGUUUUAGCCUGGAUUCUCCAGAAAACAGAGCCUUUGGCAAGUUUGUAUGCUAACACCUCGCUGGGGAGUGCAACCUUGGAGAAACCAGAUUGAGAGAAAAAUGAGGCAAGAAGAAGAAGUGCAAAGAUAAGAGGCAUUACUGAGAGGACCCAAGUUUUGUAAUUAAUGAAGCUAACUGCUUGGACUCACAGUACAUCCUCAGAUCUUCAGAGAAGUUGUACGAACUACCCUGUCUUGGAACAUCCUCAGGAGGAGAAAGUGAGUAGAAUUUAACCAUGGUUCCUUCCUGGUCUCUUGUCUCAUCCCCUGUGGCUCAAAGUCUCCCCCACAGGGCAUUAACCCUCCAGCCCAUUCAGGCUGUAUUACCUGGUCUCUCCAGACAGCAGCUGGGGAAGCCAGAGCUUUCAAGACCAAUCUAGCUAGUGCAGGUAGUAGCUUGUCUCUCCUUUUCUGACAGUGCCACUGUGGGGAUCCUCCAUCUAUAGUGUAGUCCAUGGCAGAGGCAUUGACCUGGCUCCAUGACCAGGUACUAGCUUGCUGUCCCCUGUAGAUCUCUUCUAUCUAGGAUUGAAGGCAAGGGGUUUAGGCCUGAGGUUGGUGAGUAUGGGGCUUAGGGAGAAGAUACCACAGAGAGAUCUACGGCAGUGCACACCAAAUCUGGUACAUUCCACUUUGCACCAUUCAGACCUACUUUCACCCUCUUACAGUAUCUUGAGCACAUACAAGAACGAUGCCUUCAUUUCGUCCCCUAGGGGAGAGAUGCAAGUCAGUCCUCCAAGGUGGUGACUCGUUGCAGUUCCUGGCAAUUUUAGAGGGCUGGCAAACCAAGUACAGUUUUUGCUGCUGUAACCUCUUCCAGGAUAGUAAUUCCAAUUCAUUGUCUUCCUCCUCUGCUACCCGUUCUGGAUUUCUAUCCCUCUUGGCUAUCAUUCAACUGAAAUGGGUUGCUUCCUGGUGAAGUGACUCAGAUUUUCCUCCUCAAGGGAUCUGAGGGAUCUGAACCCUUGCUGUUGUCUAACUGUAGUUGCUGCAAGGGAUUUAGGACUGUCCUUUGCAUGGAAGUCCUAAGAGAUGCCCAGGGAUUCCCUGGAUUCUCAUUGUGUAGCAGCUACCCUAGCUCUUCAUGUUGUAGGGUAGAUUAUCCCAGGGUGGAUUAUCUCAGCAGGUAAAACCAUCCUUUCUUUAUCUGCUAGUCAACUGGCAUGAAUGGCCAAAAUGGCCCCAAAUGGCCAGCUGGUUUGAGAGAGGUGAAUCUUACUUCCAAUCCUGUGCUCCUGGGGAUAUCACACCAUAUAUUGGCCAUUAAUUCAGUGUAUGUACCAUAUUCUGGAGGAAAGCACCUCAUCCUCAAAAGAUGUUGUCUCCAAGCUGGUACCCUAAACCUUGGAGAGGCCAUUUCUGUCAGUCUGAUUGCUUUUGGGUGAUGAUGUAUAGCCUUGCUACUUAAAGUUUGUGUGUGUGUGUGUGUGUGUGUGUGUGUGUGUAGGGGACCGGUAGCAGCAGAAGAAACUGGGAGCAUUUUAGAAGUGCAAAUUCUUGGCCAGGUGUGGUGGCUUAUACCUGUAAUCCCAGCACUUUGGAGGCCAACGCAGGAAGAUUGCUCAAGCUCAGACUUCAAGACCAGCCUGCACAACAUAGUGAGGUCCUGCCUUUACAAAAACAAAAAAAUUAGCCAGGCUCAGUGGUGUGCACCGGCAGUGAGCCAAGCCAUUAUUGCAACACUGCACUCUAUCCUGGGUGACAAAGCAAGACCCUGUCUUAAAAAAAAUGGCAAAUUCUCAGGUUCCCCUCCAGAUCUACUGGAGCAGAAUCUGCAUUUUGACAAGAUUCCUAGGUGAUCUGUAUGCACAUUAAAGUUUGAUACCUGGUUUAUAUGGUAAGAUGUAUGUGAUGUUCACUGAAGCAGGGCAAUGGUUGAUGUCAGAGGAGGAAGUGUGGGGUAUAGGGUUGCUAUGGAUCUGUAGCAAUACAUAAACUGAGUCAUAUACAAGUAUUAAGUUCAUUUAUUGACAGAGUCACUUAAGCCUAUACAACUUCCAUUGUCUGCAGCUUUUUCUGUCUUCCAUUAGCUUUUGAAUGACGAGGUCUCCUUUCCAUUGUUUUCCAGAUAAUUUGUAAUUUUAUUUUUUAUUUCCUUUGAUCCAAGGGUUACCUAACACUGUAUUUCUUACACUUAAUUUCCAAAUCAUUAGCAUAUUUUGGUAAUAUUUUAAAUUAUUUGCUUCUUUUUUAUUGGAUGAUGAAUGGAAAAGAUAGCCUAUAAAAUAUCUAAUUUACUUAAUUUUUCAAGAUUUUCCUUAUGACCCAAUAGAAGAUAAAUUUUGGUAAAUACUCCAUGUAUAUAUAAAAAUCUAUAUUCUGUAGUUGAAGAAAUACUUAUUUGAGUUUGCUGAUUCUAUUUUUAAUCCUUCUAUGCAUCUUUUCCUACUAGACCUACUGAUUUUGAAACAGACAUGUUGAAGUCUCCCAUCGAAAUUGUAUUUUUCGAGGCUCUCUUUAUACUUCUAAUACUUUUUCUUUCUAUAUUUAUUUGCUAUGUCGUUUGGUGCAUAAAGUUUUGUGCUCAUUAAGUCCUCUUCAUAAAUUUUGUAGUAAUAAUAUCCCUCUUUAUCCAGUUUGGAAUUUUAUUCUUAAAAUCCAACCCAUGUGAUGUGGAUAUUGCUACUCAAAUUCUUUGUUUGUUUCCAGAUCAAAACUAAUUUUUGGAUCCUGAACACACUGACUGAGCAAGAAUAUCAGUUGUGGCCUUGAGACCAGCUGCAUUGGCAGGGUAAGCUUGGUUAAAAGAACUCCAGAUGGCCCGGGGGCUGCAGGACUCCUUGCCAAUUAUCAGAGGAAGAUAAGGCCUGUGUGAAACCGGGGCAAACCUGAACCAGCGACCCUGUGUUACCUUGAGAUCAUUAACAUAUCAUCAUAAUGCUAAAGCCUCACCCAUAGAAGAUAAUUGCUGCCAUUUUCUGAAUAUACAUUAUGUGAAGAAGCAUGUUCAUGAUCUGCACCUGCACGUCUGGAGUUCCUCCCCACAUGUGUUUACCUACCUCCCCGCCCCACAUCUAACGCCUUAAAAUCCCCCAGCUUCUCAUAGCUCAGGGAGAAAGAAUCUUUAGAGAAAGAGCUCCCUCCUCCGUUCCUGGCCAGGAAUAAAACCUGCUUGCCCUUUUUCCCAUUAGGUGUUACAGUAGAACUCAGUUAGCCUGUAACAAUAAGAACUGCAUUAAAUCCUUAUAUCAACUUGGGAAGAAUUGACAGAUUUACCAUAUUAAGUCUUCUAAUCCAUAAGUAAGUAUGGUCAUUCUUUUUUUAGAUUUCUGAAAUUUCUUUCAUCAGCAAUUUUGUAGUUCUUUGCCUCACUAUCUAGAUCCCAAAUAUAUAUUUUUUUUUUCUGAAAGUUCUAUCUCUUACAAUUUAAACCUGAGUAGUUAUCAGCAUGCAAGCCCUGUACAUGUUUUGUUGGAUUUAAAUUUAAGUAUUUUGUUUUUUGAUACAUUGUAAAUGCUACUGUAUUUUAAAUUUCAGUGCCCAUGUGUUCAUUGCUAGUAUAAAGAAAUACAACAUAUUCCAGCAGUCUAGCUGAAGUCACUUAUCAGCUCUAGGAGUUUUUGUUUUUGAUUCUAUUUUUGGUAGAUCUUUGAGUUUUCCUACUUAGAUAAGCAUGUUAUCUGCAAAUAGGGACAGUUUUAUUACUACCUUUCUGAUCUAUAUGCCUUUUAUUUCCUUUUCUUACCUUAUUGCAUUGGGUAGAACUUCUAACACUGUUUAACAAUAAUGGUAAGAGCAAUCAUCCUUGCCCUGUUCCUGUUCUCAGGGUACAGUCAUUCAUUCUUUCACUGUUAAGUAUGAUGCUGGCUGUGGAGUUGUUAUAGAUGCUCUUUAACAAGUUAGGACAAAUUCCCUCUAUUUCUAUUUUUCUGAGCAUUUUUAAACCCAUGAAUGGGUGUUUUGUCAAAUGCUUUUUCUGUAUUGAUUGGUAAGAUCAAUUUUCUUUUGUAUCAAUUUUCUUUUGUUAAUAUGUUGGAUUAUGUUGACUGAUUUGUGAAUAGUAAAACAGCCCUGCAUUCCUACAGUAAGCCUCACUUUGUUACAAGAUCUUUGGGGUGUUGCUUUUCUGGCCAGAAACCUCUGUGGCCAGUGGCCCCUUUGCCCAAGUUUUGUUUGGGCCCACUGGGCUCCUUCUGCCUACUUGGCCUGGCAGGCUGUGCUCAGCUCAUGCUACCAGCCUGGAUCUCACGUCUGCCAAAGGCAAGUCAGGCAUGGAGUGGCAAGGGGUGUGUGAGCAAGCGUGGGGUCUGGUCACUGUGCAGUCAGACAUGUCAGCUGCUGCAGUGGGGUGGGCAGCUCCAGGUGCUGGCAUAGGCACUAGUUCUCUAUGAGGCUGUGGCUGGGCCAGGCACACUGCACGCAGCUUCCACAGCUGGAACCGGGGAACACAGUGGUGCCUGGAAGCUUGGAGAUGCCAGGAACCACGGGGCUCCCAAAAAGGAGUCAUAGACCGGGCUUGGGGAGCUCCAAGGUCUGGGAUCCCCUAAGGGCCACAGCUGUUCUUUCUUUCUCUUCACCCUCAAUGUAGCGAGCAAGGGACAUAUUUCAACCCUGUUUGUGUUACAGCCCUUUUAGCCCUGCCAUUCAAUGGGUCCCAAGUUCUUGUCCUAUAACCAGGAAGAAGGAGGUACGCAGACAAGUGGAGGCUCUGAGCAAGAUGAAAAGGAGCUUUAUUGAGUGAUAGGACAGUUCAGAGGAAACCUGCAGUGGGUAGCUCCUUUCCACAGCCAGGGUGUCCUGAUGAGUGUUCAGCUCCUAGCAAAGAGGAGACCCUGGAGUGGGAAGCUCCUCUUUGCUUGCAGGUGGUCCCAUUGUCUCUGCAGCUCUCAGCAGAGAGUAGGCUCUGGAGUGGGUAGCUCCUCUUUGCUGUUGGUCAUCCCAGUGUCUGCUCAGCUCUGGUUGAGCCCAGGGGUAUUAUGGGCUUCAGAGGGGGGAAAGUGUAUGCCAGCUGGUCUAUGGGUAGCCAUGGGCAGGCCCAGAAAAGGCACCACAAGCUCCCACUCUGGCCUGUGGGGCUGGUAGCCCGACCCCAGCCUUCAGGCCCUCCUUGGUCUGAAGGUGGGCCUCACUGGGGAUCUGCCCCCUUCUGCCCCAGAGCCUAUCGGCCUCCUGCCACUGUCCAUGGCACCCAGGCUGCUCACAGCAAGGGGCACCUGCAGGCCAGCACAAGCCACCCUCAACUUGGUCAUUGUGUAUACUUUUUUUUACAUUGUUGACUUCUACUUGCUAAUUUAAAAAAAAGUUGCAUCUAUAUUCAUGAUGUUAGUCUUUUGUUUUUUUUACUAUCUAUCUUUUUUUUUGGUUUGAGUAUCAGAUUUAGUACUAGCUUCAUAAAAUAAAUGGGAAAGUCUACCCUCAUCUUCAAUUUUCCGGAAGAGAUUUUGUAGAAUUAGUGUUAAUUCUUUUUUAAACUUUUGGUAGAAUUCUCCAGUGAACUCUCUUGGUCUAGGAGACGUUUUUAAAUUUUAGUUUUAAAAUUACAAAUUCAGUUUUAAAAUUCCAUUUCAUAUUGGGUGAGUUAUAGUUUUUGAGGAAUUGGCUUGUUUAAGCUAAGCUGUCAAAUGUGUGUACGUAGAGUUGUUUGUAGUAUUCCCUACUAUCCUUCUGAUGUAUACAGAGUCUGUAGUGAUAUCCCAUUUCAUCCUUGAUGUUUCAUUCCAUUUCACCCUCUUUCUUUUCUCUCCUCGUUACUGGUUGUGGGAAUGGGAAUUCCAGCCUCUCCGUAGGCCUCUACUAAGACCUCCCUGACUUGGGGGACAAUUGGGUGGGAUGGCUUAUGACUGCUCCCCAAGGGGCCUCCCCUGACACCACAGUGGUGGUGGCCUCAUUACCACUAGUUGGUGGUGAAAGUCCUGACCCUCCUCUGGGUUUUCUGGGACGCUGCCCCAGCAGAGCAGAGAGGGGCACCUGGUAACUGCUGGAUGGGAGUGGAAGUCCAGGCUCCCCGACUGUCUUCACUGAUAUUGCAGGGAGCCCAUGGGGAGAGUUGAGGUGCCUCUUUACAGCCUGGUGUGGGUGGAAUUCUAGGAUCUCCACUCUGCCUUUGCUUGUGUGAGUGUGGGUGGGCCACAGUCUUUUCUGUGGUGUUUGGCUGGAGUAGAAAGGUUAUUGUCUCAAGGGUUUUCUAUCUUGUAAGGCUGCCCCUUUUCUGCUUUCUGUUUUGUUUUUGCUUUGUCUAGAGGGAGUAGGUUUUUGUUGGGACUUUUCCCCCCAUCUCAAACACUAGAGUUUCCAGGUCAUGAACUUCUUCAAUUCAAGUCUGGGAUAUAUGAGACAAAAUGAAAGCCAGGAGAACGCACUAUGAUGGUCCCAAGUCUCCUAGCUGGUCUGCCUUCUUUUCUCCACUUUUCAGAAUAUUCUUAUACUUGCUUUAUAUACAAACUAAAUCUACUGAAAAAAUACAAUAACCAAAAUAAAUGGAUGGGCUCAAUAGCCAAAUAGAGGAGAGAGAGGGGAAAAAAAUCACUGAAUUGGGAACUAUAACUAGAGAAACCACCCAGACUGAAAAACAGAGAGAAAAUAAAUGGAAAACAAUGAACAGAGCUUCAGGGACCUGUGAGACUAUGACAAGACCCAGUGUUUGUGUCACUGAAGUUGCAGAAGAAGAAAAGAAAGAAGACAAGGCUGAAAAGGUAUUCAAAGAAAUAAUGGCUGAAAGUUUCCCAAAUGUCCAGAGUUUUUAGUUGUCCUUACUGGGAGGAAUAGGGAGAAGCGUGUCUACUCCAUCUUCCUGAAAGCUGAAGAACCAAGCACUCCCGGAUGGGGACCCAGGGUCUCCAAGCUGGGAAGAACACUGAUAAGCUGUGCACAGAAGCAGUCCUGGGAGGACCCUGCCACAGGCAGAAACACACUGGACACUCAAAGCCAUACUGCUGGGUGCUGGAGUCCAUUGCUGCUUCUGAGAAGAAUCGCUAACUUUUCUGGGGUCUUCGUACCUUUAGCACCUGAUUCAAAUUCUUGGGAAGGCUAACCUGAGUGGCCAAUCGCAGGGAGCGGGCCCAGGCCCUGCCUGUCGGCAGGUGUGGAAAGAAAAUGUACAGCAUCCUGCAGCAUCCCUGGUGGAAGCUGGAGCCUGUUUUCCAUCAAGCCACACACACUGGGGGAUUCCUCAAUUUGUCCAAUUAGGAGGUCAGUGCAUGAGGUUGCUGUAAUCCCACAUCCCCGCAACACUCAGUUUUACUGAACUUCCUAAUAUUUGCCAAUCUAAUAGGUGUAAAAUUAUAUCUCAUUGUUGCAUCAAUUUGCAUUUCCUGGAUUAUUAACAUUUGUGAGCACCUCUCAUAUGAGUGUUAGUUUUUGAGAGUUGUCAUUCUGCAAAUUGCCUGUUUAUAUCCUCUGGUGCUUCACCCAGGUAUAUUUAUGUUUACUACGCUUUUGAAUGGGAGCUUAUUUCCCUGAGUGUUACAGACAUUUGAGACAGUUACAUUAUAAAAAUAUAUUACUGAGUGAAGAGAUAAUCAUAAGAUGUAGUUCUUUAAUAAUUCCAGAUUUGAAAAACAACCACAUUAAAUGUUAUUAUUUCCGGGAAGUGAGAUUAUCUGACAUUUGUUUCCUCCCCCUCCUCCUCCUCCUCUUCUUCUUCUUCUUCCUCCUCUUCCUCUUCUUCUUCCUCCUCUUCCUCUU